GACCCCAUGGAGCUUUAAACCCGACAGCACCCACUUAUUUAACACCUUCUUAUCCGCCUGGCCCCUGUCUGCUCGGUUUUGGGUUGGGGUGACCGCGGAGCAUAAAAUAGCCUCCACGAAAGAAGGGAUGAUUCCCUCAUUUUAGAACUACACUUCCAAAGACUAACAAAUUAAUUUUAAGUGAUCCGAUACCCGUAUUCGAUCAACGAACCAAGUUACCCUGGGGAUAACAGCGCAAUCUACCUCAAGAGCCCCUAUCGACAGGUGGGUUUACGACCUCGAUGUUGGAUCAGGGUAUCCC
RNAcentral lists this ribosomal RNA (301 nucleotides) under Boophis reticulatus. Its description in RNAcentral is "partial 16S ribosomal RNA". It matches the Rfam family "Bacterial large subunit ribosomal RNA", at positions 2087 to 2548 of the family's 2925-position model. The record is from RNAcentral. Lineage: Eukaryota; Metazoa; Chordata; Amphibia; Anura; Mantellidae.